RNAcentral lists this ribosomal RNA (253 nucleotides) under uncultured bacterium. RNAcentral describes it as "partial 16S ribosomal RNA". It matches the Rfam family "Bacterial small subunit ribosomal RNA", at positions 524 to 776 of the family's 1533-position model. The record is from RNAcentral.
UACGUAGGGUGCAAGCGUUGUCCGGAAUUAUUGGGCGUAAAGAGCUCGUAGGCGGCUAGUCACGUCGGAUGUGAAAACCCGAGGCUCAACCUCGGGCCUGCAUUCGAUACGGGCUGGCUAGAGUACUGCAGGGGAGACUGGAAUUCCUGGUGUAGCGGUGAAAUGCGCAGAUAUCAGGAGGAACACCGGUGGCGAAGGCGGGUCGCUGGGACGGUACUGACGCUGAGGCGCGAAAGCGUGGGGAGCGAACAGG